This is a non-coding RNA of Pseudovirgaria hyperparasitica, 83 nucleotides long. The record is from the annotation of a RefSeq genome assembly. NCBI's taxonomy places the organism in Eukaryota, Fungi, Ascomycota, Dothideomycetes, Acrospermales, Acrospermaceae.
GGCCAGGUGGCGUAGUGGUAGUGUGCUACGUUACUAGAAGCGUUUGUUAUCCAACGUCGUAGGUUCGAAUCCUAUAACGGCUA